AUGUCUGAGGAGAAGCCCAAGGAGGGAGUGAAGACAGAGAAUAACCAUAUCAUCCUGAAGGUGGCUGGGCAGGAUGGCUCUGUCGUCCAGUUCAAAAUCAAGAGGCACACGCCUCUGAGCAAGCUGAUGAAGGCCUACUGUGAGCGACAGGGCUUGUCAAUCAGACAGAUUAGAUUCAGGUUUGAUGGGCAGCCAAUUAAUGAAGCAGACACUCCAGCACAGCUGGAGAUGGAGGAUUGAAGACACAAUCGAUGUGUUCCAGCAGCAGAUGGGUGGCACAUGGGAGACUGGAGACCUGUUGGGAUGUCGCAUCUAG
This is an RNA transcript of Elephantulus edwardii (Cape elephant shrew), 316 nucleotides long. It is a transcript of the gene named small ubiquitin-like modifier 3 pseudogene, with no coding region annotated. Lineage: Eukaryota; Metazoa; Chordata; Mammalia; Macroscelidea; Macroscelididae. The record is from RefSeq and is a predicted model, not a curated record. The transcript has a single exon.